Molecule: ribosomal RNA, 726 nt
Filed under: Vibrio parahaemolyticus
Lineage: Bacteria; Pseudomonadati; Pseudomonadota; Gammaproteobacteria; Vibrionales; Vibrionaceae
Description: partial 23S ribosomal RNA
Rfam family: Bacterial large subunit ribosomal RNA
Source: RNAcentral
AGCUAAGUGGGAAACGAUGUGGGAAGGCUUAGACAGCUAGGAUGUUGGCUUAGAAGCAGCCAUCAUUUAAAGAAAGCGUAAUAGCUCACUAGUCGAGUCGGCCUGCGCGGAAGAUGUAACGGGGCUAAGCUAUAAACCGAAGCUGCGGCAAUACCUUUUAGGUAUUGGGUAGGGGAGCGUUCUGUAAGCCGUUGAAGGUGUGUUGUAAAGCAUGCUGGAGGUAUCAGAAGUGCGAAUGCUGACAUGAGUAACGAUAAUGGGGGUGAAAAACCUCCACGCCGGAAGACCAAGGGUUCCUGUCCAACGUUAAUCGGGGCAGGGUAAGUCGACCCCUAAGGCGAGGCCGAAAGGCGUAGUCGAUGGGAAACGGGUUAAUAUUCCCGUACUUCAACUUAUUGCGAUGGGGGGACGGAGAAGGCUAGGUGGGCCUGGCGACGGUUGUCCAGGUUCAAGUGCGUAGGCUUGAGAGUUAGGUAAAUCCGGCUCUCUUUAAGGCUGAGACACGACGUCGAGCGCCCAAGGGCGUGAAGUCAUUGAUGCCAUGCUUCCAGGAAAAGCCUCUAAGCUUCAGAUAAGUUGGAAUCGUACCCCAAACCGACACAGGUGGUCGGGUAGAGAAUACCAAGGCGCUUGAGAGAACUCGGGUGAAGGAACUAGGCAAAAUGGUACCGUAACUUCGGGAGAAGGUACGCUCUUGACGGUGAAGUCCCUUGCGGAUGGAGCUAU